Molecule: ribosomal RNA, 627 nt
Filed under: uncultured bacterium
Lineage: Bacteria
Description: bacterial SSU rRNA
Rfam family: Bacterial small subunit ribosomal RNA
Source: RNAcentral
AUUAGCUAGUUGGCGGGGUAACGGCCCACCAAGGCUACGAUGAUUAGCUGGUCUGAGAGGAUGAUCAGCCACACUGGGACUGAGAUACGGCCCAGACUCCUACGGGAGGCAGCAGUGAGGAAUAUUGCACAAUGGGGGUAACCCUGAUGCAGCAACGCCGCGUGUACGACGAAUCAGUUUAUCUGUGUAAAGUACUGUUAACCGGGACGAAAAGACGUAUGAUCUACGUUUAUAUGACGGUACCGGUAGAGGAAGCUCCGGCUAACUCCGUGCCAGCAGCCGCGGUAAUACGGGGGGAGCUAGCGUUGUCCGGAAUCAUUGGGCGUAAAGGGCAUGUAGGUGGGACUUUAAGUCAAUUGUUAAAUCGUACGGCUUAACCGUAUACUGCAGUUGAUACUGGAGUUCUUGAGUGUGAGAGGGGACAGAGGAAUACCUGGUGUAGCGGUGGAAUGCGUAGAUAUUAGGUAGAACACUUGAGGCGAAGGCGUCUGUCUGGCUCAUCACUGACACUGAAAUGCGAAAGUAUGGGGAGCAAACAGGAUUAGAUACCCUGGUAGUCCAUACUGUAAACGAUGGUACUAGGUGUCGGGGGGACUAGCCCUCUCGGUGCCGCAGCAAACGCGUUAA